This 686-nucleotide ribosomal RNA is filed under the name Plesiogammarus brevis. RNAcentral describes it as "bacterial SSU rRNA". It matches the Rfam family "Eukaryotic small subunit ribosomal RNA", at positions 1255 to 1786 of the family's 1831-position model. The record is from RNAcentral. Lineage: Eukaryota; Metazoa; Arthropoda; Malacostraca; Amphipoda; Acanthogammaridae.
CUCUUUCUCGAUUCAGUGGAUGGUGGUGCAUGGCCGUUCUUAGUUGGUGGAGUGAUCUGUCUGGUUAAUUCCGAUAACGAACGAGACUCUCCCCUGCUAACUAGUCGGUUGGAUCUUGAUCAGUGGGUUGAGUGCCGAGUAACUCUCGCUGUGCGUGCUGNGCGUUUCGUUCCUCACGGUUCGUUGCGUGCUCAUGUGUGGCGUUGGAUGCCUUGGAUCACACUGCACCCCAAGUCCGCCGCUUUGCUAUAACUCUUCUUAGAGGGAUUCACGGCACUGAAGCCGUAAGAGACUGAGAGCAAUAACAGGUCUGUGAUGCCCUUAGAUGCUCUGGGCCGCACGCGCGCUACAAUGCCGGGCACAGCAGGUGUUUCUCCUGCUCCGACAGGAGCGGGUAACCCUCUGAAAGCCAGUGUUCUUGCAAGUGCUUCCUCCCUCGUGGAGUUGCACAGAGGCGUGCUUGGGCCUGGGACUUGCAAUUCUUUCCCACCAACGAGGAAUGCCUAGUAGCGGCGGGUCACUGAGCCCGCUGUGACUCAGUCCCUGCCCUUUGUACACACCGCCCGUCGCUACUACCGAUUGGGUGUACCAGUGAGAGCCUUGGACUGGCGUCCGUUGUUGCUCGCAAGAGUGACAAGCGGGUCCGACGGAAAGAGGUCCGAACUGGUGCACUUAGAGGAAGUAAA